Molecule: transfer RNA, 70 nt
Filed under: Mesocricetus auratus (golden hamster)
Lineage: Eukaryota; Metazoa; Chordata; Mammalia; Rodentia; Cricetidae
Rfam family: tRNA
About the family: Transfer RNA (tRNA) molecules are approximately 80 nucleotides in length. Their secondary structure includes four short double-helical elements and three loops (D, anti-codon, and T loops).
Source: Rfam by way of RNAcentral
UGGGGUGUAGCUCAGUGGCAGAGCACUUGCCUAGAAUGCAGGAGGCCAGGUCUGAUCCCCAGCACCACAG